RNAcentral lists this unclassified non-coding RNA (327 nucleotides) under Spizellomyces sp. RNAcentral describes it as "partial internal transcribed spacer region". The stretch from base 1 to 46 matches the Rfam family "Eukaryotic small subunit ribosomal RNA", at positions 1786 to 1831 of the family's 1831-position model. Lineage: Eukaryota; Fungi; Chytridiomycota; Chytridiomycetes; Spizellomycetales; Spizellomycetaceae. The record is from RNAcentral.
AAGUCGUAACAAGGUAACCGUAGGUGAACCUGCGGUUGGAUCAUUACAGAAAAGAUCUGGCCUUGGCCGUUUGUUGAACAGACUCUCUCCCUUUCGGGGUGAGGUUUCUGUGAAGACAUUCACAAACAUCUUGUGAACUGUGUUGUCUCUGGCGGCUGGGCAGAAGGUGGCAAUCAGCCACACUCCUGUCUGUCAACCUGAUGUAGCAGUCAGGCCGUGGACAAGCCGCCAAAUGCUUGCAUAAACCUGAAGUCAUCUUUGUUUUGUCUAACAUUAUAUUGUAUUGAAUGAUGCAAACAACUUUUGGCAACGGAUCUCUUGGCUCUC